This 522-nucleotide long non-coding RNA is filed under the name Linum usitatissimum (flax). Its description in RNAcentral is "long non-coding RNA (LUSI_LNC005264)". The record is from RNAcentral. Lineage: Eukaryota; Viridiplantae; Streptophyta; Magnoliopsida; Malpighiales; Linaceae.
AAUAAUUAGCUCAGCUUCAUGCAUCUUUCCCUUGUCUUUGUUGCGCUCUCCUUAACAACAUAGACCGCCAAGCCUCACCACCGCCACCAACCUCCGCCGUCCCUGACCGCGUCGCCGCCGCCCGGCCUCGCCGUCUCCAGGAGCAGAUUCCACUGGAUCCAGUGGCAGCAGGACUCCCGCAAUUCAAUCUAAUUUCUUGCUCUGUAAGUUGCAUUUCAUCACUUCCAAUCUCUGUAAGUUGGAUUUCCCCAAUUCCAAUCAAUUCUCUCUUCUUCAAUCUCAUCUCAACUCUUUCCUCCCCCAUUUCUCCGUUCUUCCGAUCACUUAACCUCUAUACUAUCUUUCGUCUUUCCUCAGCUUCGGCACGCUAAUCAGGAAUAUUGUGUGCUCCUCGCUGGUUGUGGUUUGGCAUACUUAGGGUUUCUGGUUUUGACGAGUGGGAUUAGUUAACAUUUCAAUGGAACCGCUGGUAGUAUAGGGGAACUUCUCGUACUGUCAGUAAUUGGGGGGGGGGGGGGGGGG